GAUGAACGCUAGCGGCAGGCUUAAUACAUGCAAGUCAAGGGGGUAGCAAUACAACCGGCGCACGGGUGAGUAACGCGUACACAACAUACCAUAUACUGGAGUAUAGCUUUGGGAAACUGAAGGUAAUCCUCCAUAACAUUGCGACGAGGGCAUCUGAUUGCAAUUAAAGUUCCGACGGUAUAUGAUUGGUGUGCGUUUGAUUAGCUAGUUGGUAGGGUAACGGCCUACCAAGGCGACGAUCAAUAGCUGGCGUGAGAGCGCGACCAGCCACACUGGAACUGAGACACGGUCCAGACUCCUACGGGAGGCAGCAGUAGGGAAUAUUGGACAAUGGCGAAAGCCUGAUCCAGCCAUGCCGCGUGAUAGAUGAAGGCCCUCUGGGUUGUAAAUAUCUUUUAUCUGGGAAGAAACUCCUCUAUUCUUAGAGGCCUGACGGUACCAGAGGAAUAAGCACCGGCUAAACUCUGUGCCAGCAGCCGCGGUAAU
This 486-nucleotide ribosomal RNA is filed under the name uncultured bacterium. RNAcentral's name for it is "bacterial SSU rRNA". It matches the Rfam family "Bacterial small subunit ribosomal RNA", at positions 28 to 524 of the family's 1533-position model. The record is from RNAcentral.